GAUGAACGCUGGCGGCGUGCCUAAUACAUGCAGGUCGAGCGAACAGACGAGGAGCUUGCUCCUCUGACGUUAGCGGCGGACGGGUGAGUAACACGUGGAUAACCUACUUAUAAGACUGGGAUAACUUCGGGAAACCGGAGCCAAUACCGGAGAAUAUAUUGAACCGCAUGGUUCAAUAGUGAAUGACGGUUUUGCCGUCACUUUUAGAUGGAUCCGCGCCGGAUUAGCUAGUUGGUAAGGUAACGGCUUACCAAGGCGACGAUGCGUAGCCGACCUGAGAGGGUGAUCGGCCACACUGGAACUGAGACACGGUCCAGACUCCUACGGGAGGCAGCAGUAGGGAAUAUUCCGCAAUGGGCGAAAGCCUGACGGAGCAACGCCGCGUGAGUGAUGAAGGUCUUCGGAUCGUAAAACUCUGUUAUUAGGGAAGAACAAAUGUGUAAGUAACUAUGCACGUCUUGACGGUACCUAAUCAGAAAGCCACGGCUAACUACGUG
Molecule: ribosomal RNA, 497 nt
Filed under: uncultured bacterium
Lineage: Bacteria
Description: partial 16S ribosomal RNA
Rfam family: Bacterial small subunit ribosomal RNA
Source: RNAcentral